Molecule: ribosomal RNA, 868 nt
Filed under: uncultured archaeon
Lineage: Archaea
Description: bacterial SSU rRNA
Rfam family: Archaeal small subunit ribosomal RNA
Source: RNAcentral
CUUCGGUUGAUCCUGCCGGACCCGACUGCUAUCAGAGUGAGAUUAAGCCAUGCGAGUUAACGUAGCAAUACGUGGCGCACGGCUCAGUAACACGUAGUCAACAUGCCCAGAGGACGUGGAUAACCUCGGGAAACUGAGUCUAAACCGCGAUAAGUGAGGAUUUCUGGAAUGGUUCCUGACCAAAAUCUAUAUGGCCUCUGGAUUGGACUGCGGCCGAUCAGGCUGUUGGUGAGGUAAUGGCCCACCAAACCUGUAACCGGUACGGGCUCUGAGAGGAGGAGCCCGGAGAUGGGCACUGAGACAAGGGCCCAGGCCCUAUGGGGCGCAGCAGGCGCGAAACCUCUGCAAUAGGCGAAAGCCUGACAGGGUUACUCUGAGUGACUUUCGCUAAGAAAGUCUUUUGGCACCUCUAAAAAGGGUGCAGAAUAAGGGGUGGGCAAGUCUGGUGUCAGCCGCCGCGGUAAUACCAGCACCCCGAGUGGUCGGGACGAUUAUUGGGCCUAAAGCAUCCGUAGCCGGUUCUGCAAGUCCCCCGUUAAAUCCAGCUGCUCAACAGAUGGGCCGCGGAGGAUACUACAGAGCUAGGAGGCAGGAGAGGCAAGCGGUACUCAGUGGGUAGGGGUAAAAUCCGUUGAUCCAUUGAAGACCACCAGUGGCGAAGGCGGCUUGCCAGAAUGCGCUCGACGGUGAGGGAUGAAAGCUGGGGGAGCAAACCGGAUUAGAUACCCGGGUAGUCCCAGCCGUAAACGAUGCAGACUCGGUGAUGGGUUGGCUUCGCGCUAACCCAGUGCCGCAGGGAAGCCGUUAAGUCUGCCGCCUGGGUAGUACGGUCGCAAGACUGAAACUUAAAGGAAUUGGCGGGGGAGCA